UAGUUAAAACUGCAUCGCCUGUCAAUGCACGGUUGUCUUCAUAGGUCGGAGGCUCAGAGUUGGCACAGUUUAGACAAGAGAACACUUUAGGGGAACUACAUGCAGAUAAAAUGUCACUGGACCCGUCGGGUCUGCGGUCUAUUUUUCAGGCUAGAGACCAUGUUGCGGAGCCUUCGGUGGGCAAGUGGUCAUUUGAUUGAUGAAGAGAUGGCCAGCAAUCUAAUUGCUGUUGCAGAGGAGUUCCUACAAGAGGCAAAUGACAUCCAACAACGGGAACCUUACGAAAAUGCCAAGUUGUUAUAUUUAUAUCAUUUUUUUUGUGUCCUGUCAAGCGCCUUUGGAGGGGAGGCGGUAUCACAUCACCAAGGAGCAGCUUGAGUUCCUCAUAGAUUGUCAUAUGACCAUCAGACAAAUGGCAGAUGUUCUCAAUGUGUCGCACUCUGGUCAAGUUGCGCAUGAGGUGUAGGAUUGUUAUCCAUGGUGCUGUGGAUGGUUACAGCAGACUUGUUGUGUUUCUGAAGGCCUCUGACAACAACAGGACCGCCACAGUCAUGGAGUCAUUCGAAGCAGCCAUCACCAGCUACGGAACACCAUCCCAGGUGAGAUGUGACCGGGUGGUGAAAACAACCGCAUCUGUGCCUUCAUGGAGCAGUUCAGGGGUGGUGAGAGGGGAAGUGCCCUCAGAGGAAGGAGCACUCACAACCAGAGGAUAGAGCGGCUGUGGGGGGACGUCUGGCAUGGAGUCUCCAACGUUUACCAUGACCUGUUCACCUUCUUGGAGACGGAGCAGAGCAUCGACAUCAACAAUGAGGUGCACCUGUGGGCACUGCACUUUGCGUUCCUGCCACGGGUGAACAGAGAUCUUGCUGUGUUUGCCAGUCAGUGGAACCACCAUGGGCUGAGAACUGAACAACGGUAGUUGUUCGUCUCGGGUUCCCUGGCAAUGCAGAGGGCCAAUCUGACAGCAGUAAGGGAUUUGUUUGCCCCAAAUUCAGCCACCAUCAGCUCCUCCAACCACCACCUCAGCUCCUCCAACCACCACCUCAGCUCCUCCAACCACUGGCGCCACAGCUCUUUAUUGGUCGUAAUGGGUGAUUGUGCCACAAAUCCAGUUCACCAUCAUCACACACAGAUGGAACUGUUGCGGACAAUAAUUCCAUUGGAAGGCCCCAGAGGCAGCCU
Long non-coding RNA from Salvelinus namaycush (lake trout), 1182 nucleotides. RefSeq lists it as uncharacterized. Lineage: Eukaryota; Metazoa; Chordata; Actinopteri; Salmoniformes; Salmonidae. The record is from RefSeq and is a predicted model, not a curated record. The transcript is spliced from 3 exons.